AAGACCUUGCGCUUUUGGAGCGGCCGAUGCCUGAUUAGCUUGUUGGUAAGGUAAAAGCUUACCAAGGCUUCGAUCAGUAGCUGGUCUGAGAGGACGGCCAGCCACACUGGGACUGAGACACGGCCCAGACUCCUACGGGAGGCAGCAGUGGGGAGUUUUGGACAAUGGGGGCAACCCUGAUCCAGCCAUGCCGCGUGAGUGAAGAAGGCCUUCGGGUUGUAAAGCUCUUUCAGCCGGAACGAAACGGUUACGGUUAAUACCCGUGAUUACUGACGGUACCGGAAGAAGAAGCACCGGCUAACUACGUGCCAGCAGCCGCGGUAAUACGUAGGGUGCGAGCGUUAAUCGGAAUUACUGGGCGUAAAGCGUGCGCAGGUGGUUUUGUAAGUCAGAUGUGAAAGCCCCGGGCUCAACCUGGGAACU
Molecule: ribosomal RNA, 423 nt
Filed under: uncultured bacterium
Lineage: Bacteria
Description: bacterial SSU rRNA
Rfam family: Bacterial small subunit ribosomal RNA
Source: RNAcentral